AAUAUACUCCCUCCGUCCGAAAAUACUUGUCGGAAGAGUGAAUGUAUCUUGAUGCAUUUUAGUUCUAGAUACAUCCAUUUCUAUCCAUUUUAUGCGACAACUAAUUCCGGACGGAGGAAGUAUCUG
Non-coding RNA from Hordeum vulgare subsp. vulgare (domesticated barley), 126 nucleotides. NCBI's taxonomy places the organism in Eukaryota, Viridiplantae, Streptophyta, Magnoliopsida, Poales, Poaceae. The record is from Rfam.